Long non-coding RNA from Oncorhynchus tshawytscha (Chinook salmon), 435 nucleotides. The record is from Ensembl. Lineage: Eukaryota; Metazoa; Chordata; Actinopteri; Salmoniformes; Salmonidae.
UGUGUGUGUGGUGGUAGUGUGUGUGUGUAGUGUGUGUGGUGGUAGUGUGUGUGGUGGUAGUGUGUGGUGGUAGUGUGUGUGGUGGUAGUGUGUGUGGUGGUAGUGUGUGUGGUGGUAGUGUGUUGGUGGUAGUGUGUGUGGUGGUAGUGUGUGUGGUGGUAGUGUGUGGUGUUGUGUGUGGUGGUAGUGUGUGUGGUGGUAAUGUGUGUAGUUAGUGUGUGGUGGUAGUGUGUGGUGGUAGUGUGUGUGGUGGUAGUGUGUGGUGGUAGUGUGUGGUAGUGUGUGGUGGUAGUGUGUGGUGGUAGUGUGUGGUGGUAAUGUGUGGUGGUAGUGUGUGUGGUGGUAAUGUGUGGUAGUGUGUGUGGUGGUAGUGUGUAGUGGUAGUGUGUGUGGUGGUAGUGUGUGGUGGUAGUGUGUGUGGUGGUAGUGUGUGUG